Molecule: regulatory RNA element, 114 nt
Organism: Astyanax mexicanus (Mexican tetra)
Lineage: Eukaryota; Metazoa; Chordata; Actinopteri; Characiformes; Acestrorhamphidae
Rfam family: Potassium channel RNA editing signal
About the family: This family represents a group of sequences related to the human potassium channel Kv1.1 hairpin element which directs the efficient modification of an adenosine to inosine by an adenosine deaminase acting on RNA (ADAR). The ADAR modification causes an isoleucine/valine recoding event which lies in the ion-conducting pore of the potassium channel.
Source: Rfam
GUGGGAUAUGGGGACAUUUACCCAAAGACGCUAUUAGGCAAGAUUGUUGGUGGCCUCUGCUGUAUUGCAGGGGUGCUGGUGAUUGCCCUUCCCAUUCCUAUCAUUGUAAACAAC